This 1173-nucleotide long non-coding RNA is filed under the name Ovis aries (sheep). RNAcentral describes it as "lncRNA (ENSOARG00000026777.1)". The record is from RNAcentral. Lineage: Eukaryota; Metazoa; Chordata; Mammalia; Artiodactyla; Bovidae.
AUGCGUUGUGUGAUGCGCUGUGUAUGUAUGAUGUGUUGUGUGUCUGUGAUGUGUUGUGUGUGUCAUGUGCUGUGUGUCUGUGAUGUGCUGUGUGUCUGUGUGAUGUGUUGUUGUGUGCGUGAUGUGCUGUGUGUCUGUGUGACAUGUCAGGUGGCGAGCUCUGGGGCUCCCCCUCCCACGACCCUGGGAAGCAGCCUCUUGCUCCAUCUUUCAGAGACCCGCGGGCCGGUGGCGACGGCACGGAGUGCCCGGGUUCACAGUGCAGCUUGUCGCUCGUGUACAUCUUGCAGGUGGCUCUUCCUCCACAUCACGGCUAGGGUCUCCAAGAUGAUGCGGUGGAGAAUCCUCCAGGUUCGCGGAAAAUCUCACUUUGCUUGCUUCUCCUGCUCAAUGGCUGUGGAGAGCAGGAAAUUGGACACUGGGGGAUGGGGACCCCUGGCAACCCACCCAAACGGGGCGCUUGCAAACCUGGUUUGGGUAAGGCACCCACGAGGUCUAGGGAUUAAGAAAGAGGCGUGGGGCUGGGAAGAGAGAGGCGCUUUGUGCAACAGAAACAGGGGCUGGGGCCGCCCGAUGGGAAGCAACUGCCGGAUGGGGUGUGAGAAUCCUCCAGGUUCGAGGAAAAUCUCACUUUGCUUGCUUCUCCUGCUCAAUGGUCUCUUUGGUCGGCAGGGAGAUGGGAAACGCACACGUCUUCUCACACACACACGUGUCCCAGGCAGUCACUAUGGGUGCUGAUGCUGCAGGGAGCACGGCGUGGUGUCCUUGAGCACACGUGAGAGACACACACAUCCCUGCACGCGUGUACCAAGUGUGCACACGUGUACUAAGUGUGUGUGCGUGUGUGGCAUGAGGCUGGAGUUUCUGGGUCGCGGUGGGUAGGCACAGAAUUCCACGUGGGAUUCUACACAGUGCCAUGCUGACCCCGCUCCCUGCCCAGCGGUGCCUGGUGCCUGCUGCCUGCCCCUUGCCUGGUCCUGUAGGCUCUGCAGGCCCGCGGGCUACCAGCAGGCGCCUCCGCUGUGCUGCCCUCCCUCUGGAGCAGCCGAGCACCUCCUUCCGGCACAGCGGGUGCGUGGGCCUCUGCUGACCGCCCUGCUCUCACCCGAGUCCGCUGUCCGUUCCCCGGGCACGGCAAGAGCGUCUCCCGCGCCCCCGCUCCCCCCGCCCGGC